Molecule: ribosomal RNA, 253 nt
Filed under: uncultured bacterium
Lineage: Bacteria
Description: partial 16S ribosomal RNA
Rfam family: Bacterial small subunit ribosomal RNA
Source: RNAcentral
GACGAGGGAUCCUAGCGUUGCUCGGAAUUAUUGGGCGUAAAGCGGGUGUAGGUGGCUUGGUAAGUCGGGUGUGAAAGCCCAGGGCUUAACCCUGGAAGUGCAUUCGAUACUACUGAGCUUGAGUGCGAGAGAGGUUAAUAGAAUACCUGGUGUAGUGGUGAAAUACGUAGAUAUCAGGUGGAACACCUGUGGCGAAAGCGGCGCACUGGACCACAACUGACGCUGAGGCGCGAAAGCUAGGGGAGCAAACAGG